UGGAGACAAACACGUUUUGGGUCUCAAACAAAAUCUCAAAUUUUCACCUGAACUUUGUGUUUCCAAAUUCUUUUGGCCUAUGCCUAAGUUCCCUCCUUUUAAGGGAUUUGAUCAUCCUUUCCCUUUACCUCCACCUUUGGAGCUUCCACCGUUUCCUAAACCAUGCCCACCACCUCCGGUUCCGGUGUACGAGCCACCCCCAAAGGUGGAACUUCCACCACCUGUCCCGGUUCACGAGCCACCCCCAAAGGUAGAGGUUCCACCACCCGUCCCGGUUCACGACCCACCGCCAAAGGUGGAGCACCCACCUCCGGUUCCGGUUUACAAGCCACCUCCAAAGGUAGAGCACCCACCUCCAGUUCCGGUUUACAAGCCGCCUCCAAAGGUAGAGCACCCACCUCCGGUUCCGGUUUACAAGCCACCUCCAAAGGUAGAGCACCCACCUCCGGUUCCAGUACACAAGCCACCAACAAUCCCUAAGAAGCCAUGCCCGCCUAAGUCGCCGAAGAUUGAGCUUCCACCGCCAGUGCCAGUUCACAAACCACCGACUAAGAAGCCUUGUCCGCCCAUGCCACCAAAGAAAGUUGAUCCGCCACCGGUUCCAGUCCACAAGCCGCCGCCGAAAAUAGUCCUUCCACCGCCGGUACCAAUCCACAAGCCGCCAAAGAAGCCGUGCCCGCCUAAACCGCCAAAGGUCGAGCUUCCACCACCAGUACCGGUCUACAAGCCACCACCGAAGAUAGAGCAUCCACCAAUCUAUGUGCCACCGGUGAUCCCGAAGAAGCCGUGCCCUCCCAAAGCGCCGAAGAUCGAUCCACCACCGGUUCCUGUCUACAAGCCGCCACCGAAGAUAGAGCAUCCACCAAUCUACGUGCCACCAGUGAUCCCAAAGAAGCCGUGUCCUCCGCCGGUGCCAAUCUACGUGCCACCGGUGGUGAUCCCGAAGAAGCCAUGUCCACCACUUCCACCACUUCCAAAGUUUCCUCCUCUUCCUCCUAAAUACAUUCACCACCCCAAGUUCGGCAAAUGGCCUCCGUUGCCGACUCACCCUUGAGAGUUUAAUACAUAUACUUGUAUGUAAUCAACGUGUUGCUUUUUAAAUAUUUUU
RNAcentral lists this long non-coding RNA (1108 nucleotides) under Brassica rapa (field mustard). RNAcentral's name for it is "long non-coding RNA (BRAP_LNC006073)". Lineage: Eukaryota; Viridiplantae; Streptophyta; Magnoliopsida; Brassicales; Brassicaceae. The record is from RNAcentral.